RNAcentral lists this long non-coding RNA (1828 nucleotides) under Capsicum annuum. Its description in RNAcentral is "long non-coding RNA (CANN_LNC021051)". Lineage: Eukaryota; Viridiplantae; Streptophyta; Magnoliopsida; Solanales; Solanaceae. The record is from RNAcentral.
UGAUUUCCAGAAAGUUCCUUGGAGCAGUAUCAUUUGUAACUACACGCGGGAAGCUGAAUGGAUCUUCAUCAAAGAUUAGCUAUCCUGAAUAGAUUACAUAGUAAUGAUGGACACAGUGCAAGAAGCUGAAUGAAUGUAUCAACGCUCCACCAAAAAGCUGUACAUUGUAAUGAGGGGUGAUUUCCAGAAAGUUCCUUUGAGUAGGAUCAUUUGUAAAUACACGCGGGCAGCUGAAUAUAUCUUCAUCACAAGAUUAGCUAUCCUGAAAAGAUUGCACAGUUAGGAUGGACACAGUGAAAGAAGCUGAGUGAAUACAUCAAUACUCCAUCAAAAAGCUGUACAUUAUAAUGAGGGGUGAUUUCCAGAAAGGUCCUUGGAGAAGGAUCAUUUGUAAAUACACGCGGGCAGCUGAAUGGAUCUUCAUCACGAGAUUAGCUAUCUUGAAUAGAUUGCAAAGUAAAGAUGGACACAGUGCAAGAAGCUGAAUGAAUGCAUCAAUACUCCAUCAAAAAGCUGUACAUUGUAAUGAGGGCUGAUUUCCAGAAAGUUCCUUGGAGCAGUAUCAUUUGAAACUACGCGCGGAUAGCUGAAUGGAUCUUCAUCACAAGAUUAGCUAUCUUGAAUAGAUUGCACAGUAAGGAUGGACACAGUGCAAGAAGAUGAAUGAAUGCAUCAAUGCUCCACCAAAAAGCUGUAUAUUGUAAUGAGGGGUGAUUUCCAGAAAGUUCCUUGGAGCAGGAUCAUUUGUAAAUACACGCGGGCAGCUGAAUGGAUCUUCAUCACAAGAUUAGCUAUCUUGAAUAAAUUGCACAGUAAGGAUGGACACAGUGCAAGAAGCUGAAUGAAUGCAUCAAUACUCCAUCAAAAAGCUGUACAUUGUAAUGACGGCUGAUUUCUAGAAAGUUCCUAGGAGCAGUAUCAUUUGUAACUACACGCGGACAGCUGAGUGGAUCUUCAUCACAAGAUUAGCGAUCCUGAAUAGAUUGCACAGUAAGGACGUACACAGUGCAAGAAGCUGAAUGAAUGCAUCAAUGCUCCAUCAAAAAGCUGUACAUUGUAAUGAGGGGUGAUUUCCACAAAGUUCCUUGGAGCAGGAUCAUUUGUAACUAUACGAGGGCAACUGAAUGGAUCUUCAUCUCAAAAUCUGCUAUCCUGAAUAGAUUGCACAGUAAGGAUGGGCUAAUGAAGCAGGGCAUCACAGAUAACCAACUGCGGUCCUAUGCGGUGGAGGCAUUGAAUCUAGUGAACAUCUCUUCUUUAUUUGCGAUUACUUGAAACUCAAUAUGGACAGAACUCUUAAAUUGGCAAGGUGUCACAGAGUAGCUACAACAUGGCAAGAGGAGCUGGACUGGGCCAACGAAAUGCACGAUGGAAAGGACCAGCAACAACUAUAUUCAGAAUGAGCAUUGCAACUGUAGUUUACAACGUUUGGAUAGAGAGGAAUCAGAGGAAAUUCCAAGCCAAGUCCAUUGAUCCACGCGUGAUAACCAGAAGAGUAGUGUAGGAGAUCUUUCAGAGGGUCUUUGAAGCCUCAGCACAAUAACAAAUUAGUAGAUGUCAACUACUAUCCUUAGUGGUAUUUUGUUUUUCCAAUCAUUAUUGCCUUUAACGUUAUGGUUAAUAGUUGGCUAACUGAUUGGUUGCUAUGCCAAUGCAGUUUGGAUUUGUACGGAACGUUAGCACUUUUUGAAAAAGAAAAGUAGCUUAUCUUAGGAAGAAGAAAAAAUCAAUGAUUCUACAGAACAGAGAGAUCAUAUCUGCAGUUAAAUCUUCCUAUGAUAAUUAGCAAAAAUGAAAUUUUACUAGAAUAAACUGGAGAACCAACUAC